GCAUAUCAAUAAGCGGAGGAAAAGAAACCAACAGGGAUUGCCCCAGUAACGGCGAAGUGAAGCGGCAACAGCUCAAAUUUGAAAUCUGGCCCCCCGGCCCGAGUUGUAAUUUGGAGAGGAUGCUUUUGGCGCGGCGCCGUCCGAGUUCCUUGGAACAGGACGCCACAGAGGGUGAGAGCCCCGUACGGACGGACGCCUAGCCUCUACAAAGCUCCUUCGACGAGUCGAGUAGUUUGGGAAUGCUGCUCAAAAUGGGAGGUAAAUUUCUUCUAAAGCUAAAUACCGGCCAGAGACCGAUAGCGCACAAGUAGAGUGAUCGAAAGAUGAAAAGCACUUUGAAAAGAGGGUUAAAAAGUACGUGAAAUUGUUGAAAGGGAAGCGCCUGUGACCAGACUUGCGCCCCGCGGACCACCCGGCGUUCUCGCCGGUGCACUCCGCGGGGCGCAGGCCAGCAUCGGUUCUCCUAGGGGGACAAAGGCCGCGGGAACGUAGCUCCUUCGGGAGUGUUAUAGCCCGCGGCGGCAUGCCCCUGGGGGGACCGAGGACCGCGCUUCGGCAAGGAUGCUGGCGUAAUGGUCACCAGCGACCCGUCUUGAAACACGGACCAAGGAGUCAAGCAUUGGGGCGAGUGUAUGGGUGCCAAACCCGCACGCGAAAUGAAAGUAAACGCAGGUGAGAGCUUCGGCGCAUCAUCGACCGAUCCUGAUGUCUUCGGAUGGAUUUGAGUAAGAGCCUUACCGCUUGGACCCGAAAGAUGGUGAACUAUGCCUGAAUAGGGUGAAGCCAGAGGAAACUCUGGUGGAGGCUCGCAGCGGUUUCUGACGUGCAAAUCGAUCGUCAAAUUUGGGCAUGGGGGCGAAAGACUAAUCGAACCAUCUAGUAGCUGGUUACCGC
This 894-nucleotide ribosomal RNA is filed under the name Sporothrix inflata. RNAcentral's name for it is "LSU rRNA". It matches the Rfam family "Eukaryotic large subunit ribosomal RNA", at positions 38 to 961 of the family's 3401-position model. Lineage: Eukaryota; Fungi; Ascomycota; Sordariomycetes; Ophiostomatales; Ophiostomataceae. The record is from RNAcentral.